RNAcentral lists this non-coding RNA (28 nucleotides) under Bombyx mori (domestic silkworm). RNAcentral also lists the same sequence under 2 other names. The record is from RNAcentral. Lineage: Eukaryota; Metazoa; Arthropoda; Insecta; Lepidoptera; Bombycidae.
UCCAUACAUUGCACGGCCCACUAAACGA